Molecule: long non-coding RNA, 818 nt
Filed under: Equus caballus (horse)
Lineage: Eukaryota; Metazoa; Chordata; Mammalia; Perissodactyla; Equidae
Description: lncRNA (ENSECAG00000047837.1)
Source: RNAcentral
AGAGACUGUCUCCAACUGCCCUCCUGGCGCUGUUGGGAGCUUGGUCUCCAGACCGGGGCGCUGCCGACUCCCGGGUACGGGAACCUCCGGCGGAGUCUCAGUGCCUCUGACUGCUGAAUCGUCCUCCUGUGGCGCGCCAAGAGCCGCCUUGCCCAAGGGAGAGCUCCCAGUCCAAAGGCAAAAUCACACGGAAUUGCCGGCUUCUAUCUGAGACAGACAGCCCUCCUCUACUGUGAAUGGGAUUCGGGAUUCGAACGGAAGCUGCCAGAGCCCCUACACCUCGCGCCGUGAGCACAGCGCCACCCACGACCUGCGGCGGUGUGGUUGGGUGUACCCAGAUGCCAUUGGUCUCUCUGCAACAUUUGGGGCACCGAAGCCAACUUGACCUGCCUGAUGCAAACAUCUGGAUUCCAGGGGAACUACCAGGGCCAGUGGCUGAAGGCACAAGCAUCGAAUCACCAGCUCUUCAGACUCCAGUGGAGCAGUUCACCACUACUCACUUCGGCCCCUGGAGGGCACCAGAGACUGUUUGCUGUACAGAGAACAGCGCCUAGAUGGAAACCAGACAGGUUCUGGGGCAGCAUCAGCUGUGUGACCAAUGGCCAGAGUCAGCGUUUGGCCAGCUCUGGAAGCCCAGGCACAGGCAUAUCCCUGCAGAGUUCUGCAAGGAUCAAAAGUAUUUUGUUGGGACCCCCUGUCAUUUUUCUGGCCCAAGGAUACAAAGCCACAGGAUGGAGGUCUGAGCUCAGACAGAUCUUGGCAAGCCCAGCUCAUCCCCUUGUAAACCUCUGUGGCCAGGCCCUUUGGGUUAAUUUGGG